UACGAAGGGUGCAAACGUUGCUCGGAAUUAUUGGGCGUAAAGCGCACGUAGGCGGCUUUGCAAGUCGGAUGUGAAAUCCCUCGGCUUAACCAAGGAAGUGCAUCCGAAACUGCAGAGCUUGAGUACUUAAGAGGAUCGCGGAAUUCCCGGUGUAGAGGUGAAAUGCGCAGAGAUCGGGAGGAACACCCGUAGCGAAGGCGGCGCUCUGGGCCGGUACUGACGCUGAGACGCGAAAGCGUGGGGAGCAAACAGG
RNAcentral lists this ribosomal RNA (253 nucleotides) under uncultured bacterium. RNAcentral's name for it is "partial 16S ribosomal RNA". It matches the Rfam family "Bacterial small subunit ribosomal RNA", at positions 524 to 776 of the family's 1533-position model. The record is from RNAcentral.